UGCAUAUCAAAAAGCGGAGGAAAAGAAACCAACAGGGAUUGCCUUAGUAACGGCGAGUGAGCGGCAAAAGCUCAAAUUUGAAAUCUGGCACCUUCGGUGUCCGAGUUGUAAUUUGAAGAAGGUAACUUUGGAGUUAGCUCUUGUCUAUGUUCCUUGGAACAGGACGUCACAGAGGGUGAGAAUCCCGUGCGAUGAGAUGUCUAACUCUAUGUAAAGUGCUUUCGAAGAGUCGAGUUGUUUGGGAAUGCAGCUCUAAGUGGGUGGUAAAUUCCAUCUAAAGCUAAAUAUUGGCGAGAGACCGAUAGCGAACAAGUACAGUGAUGGAAAGAUGAAAAGAACUUUGAAAAGAGAGUGAAAAAGUACGUGAAAUUGUUGAAAGGGAAGGGUUUGAGAUCAGACUUGGUAUUUUGUAUGUCUUGCUUUCGGGUGGGGCCUCUGCAGUUUACUGGGCCAGCAUCGGUUUGGAUGGUAGGAUAAUGACAUUGGAAUGUGGCACUACUUCGGUGGUGUGUUAUAGACUUUGUUGAUACUGCCUGUCUAGACCGAGGACUGCGUCUUUGACUAGGAUGCUGGCAUAAUGAUCCUAAACCGCCCGUCUUGAAACCACGAGACCA
RNAcentral lists this ribosomal RNA (614 nucleotides) under Scheffersomyces tanahashii. Its description in RNAcentral is "partial large subunit ribosomal RNA". It matches the Rfam family "Eukaryotic large subunit ribosomal RNA", at positions 37 to 668 of the family's 3401-position model. Lineage: Eukaryota; Fungi; Ascomycota; Pichiomycetes; Serinales; Debaryomycetaceae. The record is from RNAcentral.